Molecule: ribosomal RNA, 254 nt
Filed under: uncultured bacterium
Lineage: Bacteria
Description: partial 16S ribosomal RNA
Rfam family: Bacterial small subunit ribosomal RNA
Source: RNAcentral
GACAGAGGUGCCAAGCGUUAGGCGGAAUCACUGGGCUUAAAGCGUGUGUAGGCGGAUGUCUAAGUACCUUGUGAAAUCCCACGGCUCAACCGUGGAACUGCUUGGUAUACUGGAUGUCUUGAGCCAUCUAGGGGCUACCGGAACAAAUGGUGGAGCGGUGAAAUGCGUAGAUAUCAUUUGGAACGCCAAUGGUGAAAACAGGUAGCUGGGGAUGUGCUGACGCUGGAGACACGAAAGCCAGGGGAGCAAACGGG